UCUUUCGGGGCGGGGUGCAAUUCCCAACCGGCAGUAAAUUAAGCCUGCGACCUGUCAAAGUAUAUGGUUAACUACUUUGAUGGCUGAUCUAGUGAAAGUCUAGAGCCGACAGUGAAAGUCUGGAUGGGAGAAAG
This 134-nucleotide non-coding RNA is filed under the name Staphylococcus haemolyticus. RNAcentral's name for it is "FMN riboswitch (RFN element)". It matches the Rfam family "FMN riboswitch aptamer (RFN element)". From Rfam's summary of the family: The RFN element is a highly conserved domain that is found frequently in the 5'-untranslated regions of prokaryotic mRNAs that encode for flavin mononucleotide (FMN) biosynthesis and transport proteins. This element is a metabolite-dependent riboswitch that directly binds FMN in the absence of proteins. Lineage: Bacteria; Bacillati; Bacillota; Bacilli; Caryophanales; Staphylococcaceae. The record is from RNAcentral.